This 253-nucleotide ribosomal RNA is filed under the name uncultured bacterium. RNAcentral describes it as "partial 16S ribosomal RNA". It matches the Rfam family "Bacterial small subunit ribosomal RNA", at positions 524 to 776 of the family's 1533-position model. The record is from RNAcentral.
UACGUAGGGUGCGAGCGUUGUCCGGAAUUAUUGGGCGUAAAGGGCUCGUAGGCGGUUUGUCGCGUCGGGAGUGAAAACACUGGGCUUAACUCAGUGCUUGCUUCCGAUACGGGCAGACUAGAGGUAUGCAGGGAAGAACGGAAUUCCUGGUGUAGCGGUGAAAUGCGCAGAUAUCAGGAGGAACACCGGUGGCGAAGGCGGUUCUCUGGGCAUUACCUGACGCUGAGGAGCGAAAGUGUGGGGAGCGAACAGG